Molecule: long non-coding RNA, 704 nt
Organism: Parasteatoda tepidariorum (common house spider)
Lineage: Eukaryota; Metazoa; Arthropoda; Arachnida; Araneae; Theridiidae
Source: RefSeq, a predicted model, not a curated record
ACCAAAAAUAUUUAAAACAAACUGUACUCAGAGAUAAUUGUAAAAGACAUUAUCGUUUUAAUACUUUUGAAAAACAAUAGGGUUUGAAAUGCUUAAUUAAACUCGUUUUCAAAGUUUCGAUCAAAUAGAUUUUCCUUUGUAAUUAGCUUCUGAAGAAAGUUUUUGGAUUUUAAGGGUUCCCUCUCCCGAAACAAAAGAUAACAGGAAUAAUAAACAGCUGAUCCUCAAAAUGCAAUCCAAUCAUGAGAAUCCACUAUAUUAUUUACGUUGCAUUAAAAUAUAAACAGAAUUUAUCAAUGGCAGUAUUUGAAGAAUUGAUACACAAUAAAGCUAGUCUACACCUUGGAGAAAAGUAGCCUUUUUCACCAAACAGUAAUUAGUAUUGUUUCAAGGUUUCAACAACAGAAAAAACUGAGAACAGAAAAAAAUUGCAGAUUGGAACAGAUUAAUGCAUAAAACAGCAAUACAUUUAAAUAGGAAGAAUAUAUACUUGAUAAUGCCAAACACAGUAGGCAGAAUACUCUUUAUUUUACAAAUUCACCCAUUCAUAUGGUUGGUAAAACAUAUGCUUUUAAAAUAAGAAAAUAUGUGCGCAAUGUUAGAAAUGAAAAGUAAUUCUACUUAACUUUAUUGAAGCACUAGUAAACUUUUCUUUGCAAUUAUGAAUCAUGUAUUGUAAUAAAACAAUAAAGUUUAGAAAAAGU